AAGCUAGAAGAUGAUGAGAUCACAUCCUAUACAUCUUGGCGGGCCUCGACAUGGAUUUCAACCCUGUAGUCUCCUCAAUAUCAGUGCACGUGGAGCCGCUGAGACUCGCCAAACUCUACACCCAGCUGGUGAGCUCGGAGC
RNAcentral lists this small nucleolar RNA (141 nucleotides) under Sorghum bicolor (sorghum). Its description in RNAcentral is "Small nucleolar RNA Z247". It matches the Rfam family "Small nucleolar RNA Z247". Rfam says of the family: Z247 is a member of the C/D class of snoRNA which contain the C (UGAUGA) and D (CUGA) box motifs. The record is from Rfam by way of RNAcentral. Lineage: Eukaryota; Viridiplantae; Streptophyta; Magnoliopsida; Poales; Poaceae.